Molecule: long non-coding RNA, 398 nt
Filed under: Pan troglodytes (chimpanzee)
Lineage: Eukaryota; Metazoa; Chordata; Mammalia; Primates; Hominidae
Description: long non-coding RNA NONPTRT013038
Source: RNAcentral
UGGAGUUGUUAAGCAGCUUGCCCAAAGUCACCUUGCAGAAGAUCCCUCUGGCUGCCGUGGAGAAUGGAUUGGAAGGAGCCAGAAUGCCUGAGGAAGAUAGAGCUUUUAGGAGUCUGUUGUAGUUGCACAGGCGGUUAGUUACUAGAGGAUGUUUGCCGCCAAGAUGGAGCCAAUGCUGAAAGAGGAAGACAUUAGGAGCUCCAACACAGAUGGCAGGAAUCCUCAGGAUGACUUGGAGAGCAACCAGUCCAGACUGUAGCAAGUCAGGUUCUGGGGAAGGCUACUUCAUAAGGAUGAACAAUUUGAGAGAGACUUAGACAAUCAGCAACAAGGUUGGGGUUGAAUUGGUAAUAAAUACAUGAAAACUAAGCCAGUGGGACAGUUAAUAUUAGAUGAGA